This 768-nucleotide unclassified non-coding RNA is filed under the name Hevea brasiliensis (rubber tree). The record is from RNAcentral. Lineage: Eukaryota; Viridiplantae; Streptophyta; Magnoliopsida; Malpighiales; Euphorbiaceae.
GCCGCUUCCAAGCCAAAAUCAGGCCGCCACCAGCUCCAAAAACCUGAUCCAAAGCCACUAGGACCAUAACAGUUAGGAAAUGUCCCUAAGCAAUCCAGUCCCGGUGCCCCUUGUUCCCCAAUUAGAACCGCAGGUUCCGGCCUGGAACGGAACAAGAACGGUGGCCAAGCCUCCCUGAUACAACUAAACCCAACGCCAUUGCCAUCACUUUCAGUUACUCCAUAAGAGCCACCACCAAUUUUCUUCCGAAAAUAUAAAUUGUGGAUCAUUUCCGCCUGCUCUUAUGUCGACCUUCAAAUGAGGCUACAAUAGAAACGUACUGCACUUUCCCACCACAAAUGAUCAUCUUAUAAUAAUACCAAGCAAUAUUAAUGGGUCACUUUCCCAUAAUAUUUCAACAAUUUGAUAUUUUUCUUUCUGGGUUCUACCUUUUAUGUGAUUUGAACAAUCAUAGGUUUCCUUAUUUUCGAAAAUGCAUAUUAUGCGUACAGCUGGGUUUCUUAGUGAUUUAAUUAACCUGAAUAUUAGGCGAUUUUUUAAAGAGCAUCGUAAGCUUUGCUUGGAUUUUGGAAUCUGGGUACGAUUUAAAUCGGUAAUCGAAUGUAUCUAAGAGAAAAUUUAGACUUCUGAAUCAAAAUAGAUGUAUAAAUGAUCCAUUUAGAACAUAAAGUUCAUAUUCACCAAGUCCGUUUGAUCUUAUAAAUCCAGAAAUUAAUUUGAAGGAGUAAGAAAAAAGGGAACUUACUGGAGUUGGCCAUGGAGAUUUCA